Molecule: ribosomal RNA, 253 nt
Filed under: uncultured Acidobacteriota bacterium
Lineage: Bacteria; Pseudomonadati; Acidobacteriota
Description: uncultured Acidobacteria bacterium partial 16S ribosomal RNA
Rfam family: Bacterial small subunit ribosomal RNA
Source: RNAcentral
UACGGGGGGGGCAAGCGUUGUUCGGAAUUACUGGGCGUAAAGGGCCCGUAGGUGGCUAACUAAGUCAGACGUGAAAUCCCCAGGCUCAACUUGGGAACUGCGUCUGAUACUGGAUGGCUUGAAUCCGGGAGAGGGAUGCAGAAUUCCAGGUGUAGCGGUGAAAUGCGUAGAUAUCUGGAGGAAUACCGGUGGCGAAGGCGGCAUCCUGGACCGGCAUUGACACUGAACGGCGAAAGCCAGGGGAGCAAACGGG